UACGGGGGGGGCAAGCGUUGUUCGGAAUUACUGGGCGUAAAGGGCUCGUAGGCGGCCAACUCAGUCAGACGUGAAAUCCCUCGGCUUAACCGGGGAACUGCAUCUGAUACUGGAUGGCUUGAGUUCGGGAGAGGGAUGCGGAAUUCCAGGUGUAGCGGUGAAAUGCGUAGAUAUCUGGAGGAACACCGGUGGCGAAGGCGGCAUCCUGGACCGACACUGACGCUGAGGAGCGAAAGCCAGGGGAGCAAACGGG
Molecule: ribosomal RNA, 253 nt
Filed under: uncultured bacterium
Lineage: Bacteria
Description: partial 16S ribosomal RNA
Rfam family: Bacterial small subunit ribosomal RNA
Source: RNAcentral